This is a long non-coding RNA of Juglans microcarpa x Juglans regia, 429 nucleotides long. RefSeq lists it as uncharacterized. The record is from RefSeq and is a predicted model, not a curated record. The transcript has 2 exons. Lineage: Eukaryota; Viridiplantae; Streptophyta; Magnoliopsida; Fagales; Juglandaceae.
AGAGAAUCUUAAGCUUCAAGGAGUUCGAUAUGCAUAUUGAGUACACCAGUUUGCAGGUGGUUUUGAUGCAGAGGCUAUACAAGCAUUUGAAAAAUUAAAGAAGGCCUGAUUGGAUAGUGAAAAAUGAUUGCAUGCGUUGCAAAACACCCCGUACAAGUUAGAAUAUUGAAACUUUUUAGUGCUAUAUUAUAAAUCCACUGGCAAGUGAAGUAUCCUUACUAGUUUAUUCAUGUUAGUUUUUCAAUGAUUACAUAUAUGGGUAUAUAUUUUAGACAAGGGUAAGUUCCAUUGGUUGCCAACUUGAGUACAAACAUAAGUUCCAUUGAUUGCCAACCUGGGCACCAAACUCUAUGAUAAUACACGAUCAAUGCUGUGGCAAACUUGGUAACCUUAAAGCUGAUGAAGCGAAUCCUUCCUAUCUUUUUGGUA